CUCAGAGAGACAGUACCUUUUGCUGAGUCCAGCAUAUGGCUAACAGGAGCUAUGUCAGCAGCUGAGACCACAGCAAGUCCUGAAGCCAACUGGAUUAGGAAGCCAUUGUAUGGAUUGUUUCAAUAUAAUUCCAGUAUGAUUGGACUAGAAUCAUUAGCUGAUCCCUCAGAUACCUGGGAAAUUAUAGAGACCAUUGGGAAAGGCACUUACGGUAAGGUCUAUAAGGUCGCCAAUAAGAAAGAUGGGAGUCUGGCAGCAGUAAAGAUUCUGGAUCCUAUCAGUGAUGUAGAUGAAGAAAUUGAAGCAGAAUAUAAUAUUUUGCAGUUUCUUCCCAAUCAUCCUAAUGUUGUUAGAUUUUAUGGGAUGUUUUACAAAGCAGAUCAAUAUGUGGGAGGACAGCUCUGGCUAGUACUUGAGCUGUGCAAUGGAGGUUCUGUCACAGAGCUUGUCAAAGGCCUGCUGAAGUGUGGCCAACGGUUGGAUGAAUCUAUAAUCUCAUACAUCUUAUGUGGUGCUCUCUUGGGCCUUCAGCAUUUACACAAUAACCGGAUCAUUCAUCGUGAUGUGAAAGGGAACAACAUUCUCCUGACAACAGAAGGUGGAGUCAAGCUCGUUGACUUUGGUGUUUCAGCCCAGCUCACCAGCACACGGCUGCGUAGAAACACCUCCGUGGGAACACCCUUUUGGAUGGCACCUGAGGUCAUUGCUUGUGAACAACAGUAUGACUACUCAUACGAUGCGCGAUGUGACGUAUGGUCCUUGGGAAUAACAGCUAUUGAACUGGGGGAUGGAGAUCCUCCUUUAUUUGACAUGCAUCCGGUGAAAACCCUUUUUAAGAUUCCAAGGAAUCCUCCUCCUACUUUGCUACAUCCUGAAAAAUGGUGCAGAGGAUUCAACCAUUUCAUUUCACAGUGUCUUAUCAAGGAUUUUGAAAAGCGUCCUUCAGUCACCCAUCUUUUGGAGCAUCCAUUUAUUAAACAAGUACAUGGUAAAGAUAUGUCUCUGCAAAAGCAGCUGGCUGAGCUAAUCCAAGAACAGCAGCAACUAGGCUCCAUAGCCAAAACAAGGUACUGUACAACAUAUAUGCUCCAGCCCUCCUUCACCACCCUAAUUGUAGAAGCACAAGUUGAAACUUUGAAUGCACAGACAUGUACUGUUUCAAAUGAUUGUAUUAAUGCAUUGACUAGCAGUAUUAUUUGCAAUAAGUGCUGCAUGCCAUGUGAAUGCAAGAAAUAUGUUUUCCCAUUGACAGUUUUUAAAUUCUCCAAGCUUUACCAUGGUGUGAAGCGUUCAUCAAAUCCCCCCCACAUAUUUGCCUCUGCAGAUGCUGCCUACCAAAGUAUGGUUACCUUCAGCAAAGAUCAGUGCAUUAUCAUCAGUGGGGAAAGUGGUGCUGGAAAGACAGAAAGUGCCCAUCUGAUUGUCCAACAUUUGACCUUCUUGGGAAAGGCCAAUAACCGUGCUUUGCGUGAGAAAAUUCUUCAGGUGAAUCCUCUGGUUGAAGCAUUUGGGAAUGCCUGCACUGCCAUCAAUGACAACUCAAGUCGCUUCGGAAAAUACCUGGAAAUGAUGUUUACACCUACAGGAGCUGUAAUGGGGGCAAAGAUUUCUGAAUAUCUACUUGAAAAAUCAAGGGUCAUAAAACAGGCUGUGGGAGAAAAAAAUUUCCAUAUAUUUUAUUAUAUUUAUGCUGGCCUUUAUCACCAGAGGAAACUUUCUGAAUAUAGACUUCCCGAUAAAAAGCCUCCUAGAUAUAUUGAUAAUGAAACUGGAAGAGUCAUGCAUGAUAUUGUUACUAAAGAUUCCUAUGGAAGACAGUUUGAAGCAAUUCAGCAUUGUUUUAGAAUUAUAGGAUUCACUGACGAGGAAGUGUACUCAGUGUACAGAAUUCUGACUGGAAUCUUAAAUACUGGAAAUAUUGAGUUUGCUGCCAUUUCUUCACAACACCAAACAGAUAAAAGUGAGGUUCCCAACCCAGAAGCCUUAGAUAAUGCUGCUGCACUACUAAGUAUUGGGUCAGAAGAACUUCAAGAGGCCCUAACCUCCCAUUGUGUUGUAACACGAGGGGAGACUAUUAUCCGAACAAACACAGUGGACAAAGCAGCUGACGUGCGAGAUGCCAUGUCUAAAGCACUUUAUGGCCGGCUCUUCAGCUGGAUCGUAAAUCGUAUUAAUACGCUGCUUCACAAUGCUGAAAAUGGGAUGAAUGUUGGAAUACUAGACAUAUUUGGAUUUGAGAACUUCGCAAGAAAUUCCUUUGAACAGCUGUGCAUAAAUAUUGCUAAUGAACAGAUCCAGUUUUAUUUCAAUCAACAUAUCUUUGCACUUGAGCAGAUGGAAUAUCAGAGUGAGGGAAUUGAUGCUGCUACAGUGGAGUAUGAGGACAACCGUCCACUUCUAGAUAUGUUCCUCCAGAAACCCAUGGGUCUCCUGUCUCUACUAGAUGAAGAAAGUCGAUUUCCUCAGGCAACAGACCUAACUUUAGUUGAUAAAUUUGAAGAUAACUUACGAUGCAAAUACUUUUGGAGACCAAAAGGAGUAGAACUGUCAUUUGGUAUUCAGCACUAUGCUGGAAAGGUUUUAUAUGAUGCCUGUGCAUUCCUUGAGAAGAACAGAGACACUCUUCCUGCUGAUGUAGUAGUGGUGUUGCGAACCUCAGAGAACAAACUUCUUCAGCAGCUGUUCUCUAGCCCAUUAACAAAAACAGGUAUUUUCUGCACAGCUUUGCUAACAUUGCAAUCUCUUCAUUUUGUCUUCCAGGUUGACACAAUGGAAGUUAUGCGACACCCUGAGGAAACAACUAACAUGAAGCGGCAAACUAUGGCUUCUUAUUUUAGGUAUUCCCUCAUGGAUCUUUUAUCCAAAAUGGUUGUUGGACAGCCUCACUUUAUCCGCUGCAUUAAACCUAAUGAUGAUCGAGAAGCACUGAUGUUUUCUCAUGAGAGAGUUCUACUGCAGCUACAAUACACUGGAAUUCUGGAAACUGUCAAAAUACGUCAAAAAGGGUAUUCUCAUCGCAUCCUCUUUGAAGAGUUUGUGAAAAGGUAUUAUUACCUUGCAUUCAAGGCACACGAGACUCCCCUUGGUAGCAGAGAAAAUUGCCUUGCCAUUUUGGAGAAAUCUAAACUAGACAACUGGAUUCUUGGGAAAACCAAGGUUUUUCUAAAGUAUUAUCAUAUAGAGCAGUUAAACUUGUUCCUGCGAGAAGUUAUAGGGAGGGUGGUGGUCAUGCAAGCCUAUAUCAAGGGAUGGCUUGGAGCAAGGAGGUACAAGAAAGUCAAAGAGAAAAGAGAAAAUAGUGCUCUAUCGAAAACAUUACUUCUGAUCAUUUGUUCUUCAGUAUCAAAUGACAUCAGUGACAGGUAUCACGCACUUUUGGGCUUUUUCUAA
RNAcentral lists this long non-coding RNA (3390 nucleotides) under Bubo bubo (Eurasian eagle-owl). Its description in RNAcentral is "lncRNA (ENSBOBG00000012510.1)". The record is from RNAcentral. Lineage: Eukaryota; Metazoa; Chordata; Aves; Strigiformes; Strigidae.